RNAcentral lists this ribosomal RNA (323 nucleotides) under uncultured bacterium. RNAcentral's name for it is "bacterial SSU rRNA". It matches the Rfam family "Bacterial small subunit ribosomal RNA", at positions 28 to 334 of the family's 1533-position model. The record is from RNAcentral.
GACGAACGCUGGCGGCGUGCCUAACACAUGCAAGUCGAACGGGGCUCUUUGGAUCGAGACUUCGGUCAAGUGAAUCUGAGCUUAGUGGCGGACGGGUGAGUAACGCGUGAGCAACCUGCCUUUCAGAGGGGGACAACAGUUGGAAACGACUGCUAAUACCGCAUAAUGUGUUUUGGGGGCAUCCCCGAAAUACCAAAGAUUUAUCGCUCUGAGAUGGCCUCGCGUCUGAUUAGCUGGUUGGCGGGGUAACGGCCCACCAAGGCGACGAUCAGUAGCCGGACUGAGAGGUUGGCCGGCCACAUUGGGACUGAGACACGGCCCAA